UCCAGUGGUAUAGUCAGCUGUCCAGAGCAGUACUGUGCCUGUGAUAGUGUUACACUGCUGGGAGAUAAAGAUCAGUCAUUUCUUCUGGCUGCUGUUGUCACCGUUCUGGAGACAGCAGGUGCCAAGAAGGAGUGACAUUGUGCUUCUCUGAGAGUGCACUAAAGAUUUGCUUUGCCUCUUUAGUGCUAGUCUGGAAGCAUACAAA
Molecule: small nucleolar RNA, 205 nt
Organism: Calypte anna (Anna's hummingbird)
Lineage: Eukaryota; Metazoa; Chordata; Aves; Apodiformes; Trochilidae
Product: small nucleolar RNA SNORA74
Exons: 1
Source: RefSeq, a predicted model, not a curated record